GAUGAACGCUGGCGGCGUGCCUAAUACAUGCAAGUCGAGCGAACAGACGAGGAGCUUGCUCCUCUGACGUUAGCGGCGGACGGGUGGGUAACACGUGGAUAACCUACCUAUAAUACUGGGAUAACUUCGGGAAACCGCAGCUAAUACCGGAUAAUAUAUUGAACCGCAUGGUUCAAUAGUGAAUGACGGCUUUGCUGUUACUUAUAGAUGGUUCCGCGCCGCAUUAGCUAGUUGGUAAGGUAACGGCUUACCAAGGCAACGAUGCGUAGCCGACCUGAGAGGGUGAUCGGCCACACUGGAACUGAGACACGGUCCAGACUCCUACGGGAGGCAGCAGUAGGGAAUCUUCCGCAAUGGGCGAAAGCCUGACGGAGCAACGCCGCGUGAGUGAUGAAGGUCUUCGGAUCGUAAAACUCUGUUAUUAGGGAAGAACAAAUGUGUAAGUAACUAUGCACGUCUUGACGGUACCUAAUCAGAAAGCCACGGCUAACUACGUG
Molecule: ribosomal RNA, 497 nt
Filed under: uncultured bacterium
Lineage: Bacteria
Description: partial 16S ribosomal RNA
Rfam family: Bacterial small subunit ribosomal RNA
Source: RNAcentral